RNAcentral lists this ribosomal RNA (476 nucleotides) under uncultured bacterium. Its description in RNAcentral is "bacterial SSU rRNA". It matches the Rfam family "Bacterial small subunit ribosomal RNA", at positions 28 to 466 of the family's 1533-position model. The record is from RNAcentral.
GAUGAACGCUGGCGGCGUGCCUAAUACAUGCAAGUCGAACGCAUUGUGGUUGAAAUGAUAUGAAGAACUUGUUCAGAUUUGAUUUUCAACAUUGCAAUGAGUGGCGAACGGGUGAGUAACACGUGGGAAACCUACCUCUUAGCAGGGGAUAACAUUUGGAAACAAAUGCUAAUACCGUAUAAUAAUUAAAACCGCAUGGUUUUAGUUUAAAAGAUGGUCUUGCUAUCACUAAGAGAUGGUCCCGCGGUGUAUUAGUUAGUUGGUGAGGUAAUGGCUCACCAAGACAAUGAUACAUAGCCGAGUUGAGAGACUGACCGGCCACAAUGGGACUGAGACACGGCCCAUACUCCUACGGGAGGCAGCAGUAGGGAAUCUUCCACAAUGGACGAAAGUCUGAUGGAGCAACGCCGCGUGUGUGAUGAAGGUUUCGGCUCGUAAAACACUGUUGUAAGAGAAGAAUGACAUUGAGAGUAACU